CUCGAUCUCCACCUUUGAUCUCCACCAGGUCCCCCAGGACGAGCUCGGCCGCGUUCACCUGCAGGGUCUGCCCCGCCCGGAUCACCGUGGCUUGCUGCCACAGGUGAGGAGAACACAGGUGAGCACAGGUGACACCACAGGUGACACCACAGGUGUCCCCAGGUGUGCCCAGGUGUGUCCCCAGGUGUCCCCAGGUGUCCCCAGGUGUGAUUUUCUCUCCCUCCAGCUUCCCCCAGCUGUCUCCAGGUGUCCCAGGUGUGUCCCCAGCUCCCCCCAGGUGACCCCAGGUGUGUCCCAGGUGUGUCCAGGUGUCCCAGGUGUGUUUUUGAUGUCCCCAGGUGUCCCAGGUGUGAUUUUGUCUCUCCCCAGGUGUCCCAGGUGUGUCCCAGGUGUGUUUUUCUCUCCCCCAGGUGUCCCCAGGUGUCCCCAGGUGUCCCAGGUGUGUCUCAGCUGUCCCCAGGUGUCCCCAGGUGUCCCCAGGUGUCCCCAGGUGUGUCCCAGGUGUGUUUUUGAUGUCCCCAUGUGUCCCCAGCUGUCCCCAGGUGUGUUUUUGAUGUCCCCUGGUGUCCCAGGUGUGUCCCAGGUGUGUCCCAGGUGUGUCCCAGGUGUGUCCCAGGUGUGUUUUUGAUGUCCCCAGGUGUCCCCAGCUGUCCCCAGGUGUGUUUUUGAUGUCCCCUGGUGUCCCCAGGUGUCCCCAGGUGUCCCAGGUGUCCCCAGCUGUCCCCAGGUGUGUUUUUGAUGUCCCCAGGUGUCCCCAGGUGUCCCAGGUGUGCCAGGUGCGCUCACCUGCGGGACCAGGUUGCGGAAGCUGGCGAUGAUGUUGGUGCUCUUGAACUCCUGGUAGUACCCGAAGCACCCGGUGACGACCACGACGGCGAUGAGAGCCACGGCCAGGUAGAGCUGCAGGUGAGGCCAGGUGAGAGCGGGCCUGGGC
RNAcentral lists this long non-coding RNA (934 nucleotides) under Parus major (Great Tit). RNAcentral describes it as "lncRNA (ENSPMJG00000002500.1)". Lineage: Eukaryota; Metazoa; Chordata; Aves; Passeriformes; Paridae. The record is from RNAcentral.